CUCGUAGGUGGCCAACUAAGUCAGACGUGAAAUCCCUCAGCUUAACUGGGGAACUGCGUCUGAUACUGGAUGGCUUGAGUUUGGGAGAGGGAUGCGGAAUUCCAGGUGUAGCGGUGAAAUGCGUAGAUAUCUGGAGGAACACCGGUGGCGAAGGCGGCAUCCUGGACCAAUACUGACACUGAGGAGCGAAAGCCCAAGGGGGAGCAAAACGG
Molecule: ribosomal RNA, 212 nt
Filed under: uncultured bacterium
Lineage: Bacteria
Description: partial 16S ribosomal RNA
Rfam family: Bacterial small subunit ribosomal RNA
Source: RNAcentral